RNAcentral lists this long non-coding RNA (305 nucleotides) under Triticum aestivum (bread wheat). Its description in RNAcentral is "long non-coding RNA (TAES_LNC001464)". Lineage: Eukaryota; Viridiplantae; Streptophyta; Magnoliopsida; Poales; Poaceae. The record is from RNAcentral.
GGCGACUGUCUCAAUACGCUUAGAAACACCUAAAAAUAGGAUAGCCAGAAAUUUUUUUGUCAAGUGCGUUUUUCGAAAAUUUUGGGCCUAAACGGAGGGUGGUUUCCGGACUCUUUUUUUUUGACUCUUUUUUUUUGGAAACCAACCUGUUCUACGGACGGCAAAAGAUUGCUGGAAUCCGAAACCUACUCAGACAAGGAAACACGAAUCGGAAUUUAGAUGGAUCCCGAAAACAAACCUAAUAUGCAAGGAACUCGGAUUGGUGGUGGAUAUAUGGUGGUGGUAUAUGGCAGCGGUGGUGGUAG